UGGAUCCAGACUUUGAUUAUGGCUCAGGAUGAACGCUAGCUACAGGCUUAACACAUGCAAGUCGAGGGGAAACGACAUCGAAAGCUUGCUUUUGAUGGGCGUCGACCGGCGCACGGGUGAGUAACGCGUAUCCAACCUGCCCACCACUUGGGGAUAACCUUGCGAAAGUAAGACUAAUACCCAAUGAUAUCUCUAGAAGACAUCUGAAAGAGAUUAAAGAUUUAUCGGUGAUGGAUGGGGAUGCGUCUGAUUAGCUUGUUGGCGGGGUAACGGCCCACCAAGGCUACGAUCAGUAGGGGUUCUGAGAGGAAGGUCCCCCACAUUGGAACUGAGACACGGUCCAAACUCCUACGGGAGGCAGCAGUGAGGAAUACUGGUCAAUGGACGAGAGUCUGAACCAGCCAAGUAGCGUGCAGGAUGACGGCCCUAUGGGUUGUAAACUGCUUUUAUAAGGGAAUAAAGUGAGUCUCGUGAGACUUUUUGCAUGUACCUUAUGAAUAAGGACCGGCUAAUUCCGUGCCAGCAGCCGCGGUAAUACGGAAGGUCCGGGCGUUAUCCGGAUUUAUUGGGUUUAAAGGGAGCGUAGGCCGGAGAUUAAGCGUGUUGUGAAAUGUAGAUGCUCAACAUCUGCACUGCAGCGCGAACUGGUUUCCUUGAGUACGCACAAAGUGGGCGGAAUUCGUGGUGUAGCGGUGAAAUGCUUAGAUAUCACGAAGAACUCCGAUUGCGAAGGCAGCUCACUGGAGCGCAACUGACGCUGAAGCUCGAAAGUGCGGGUAUCGAACAGGAUUAGAUACCCUGGUAGUCCGCACGGUAAACGAUGGAUGCCCGCUGUUGGUCUGAAUAGGUCAGCGGCC
Molecule: ribosomal RNA, 857 nt
Filed under: uncultured Bacteroidota bacterium
Lineage: Bacteria; Pseudomonadati; Bacteroidota
Description: bacterial SSU rRNA
Rfam family: Bacterial small subunit ribosomal RNA
Source: RNAcentral